GGUUAAGCGACUAAGCGUACACGGUGGAUGCCCUGGCAGUCAGAGGCGAUGAAGGGCGUGCUAAUCUGCGAUAAGCGCCGGUAAGGUGAUAUGAACCGUUAUAACCGGCGAUACCCGAAUGGGGAAACCCAGUGUGACUCGUCACACUAUCAUUAACUGAAUCCAUAGGUUAAUGAGGCGAACCGGGGGAACUGAAACAUCUAAGUACCCCGAGGAAAAGAAAUC
This 225-nucleotide ribosomal RNA is filed under the name Salmonella enterica. RNAcentral describes it as "partial 23S ribosomal RNA". It matches the Rfam family "Bacterial large subunit ribosomal RNA", at positions 1 to 226 of the family's 2925-position model. RNAcentral also lists the same sequence under 16 other names. The record is from RNAcentral. Lineage: Bacteria; Pseudomonadati; Pseudomonadota; Gammaproteobacteria; Enterobacterales; Enterobacteriaceae.